This is a long non-coding RNA of Numida meleagris (helmeted guineafowl), 5291 nucleotides long. RefSeq lists it as uncharacterized. Lineage: Eukaryota; Metazoa; Chordata; Aves; Galliformes; Numididae. The record is from RefSeq and is a predicted model, not a curated record. The transcript has 4 exons.
GGUCUUUUCCAGCCUCAGUGGUUCUACGGUGACCGUUUUUGUCCCUUGCAGAUCACAUCCAAGCUGCUUUCUGCCACCUCCAAAAGCAAAUACAACUUUCUCUAAGGUAAAAUGUGCAAUUAGCGACUGCCUGCGCUAACCUGGGAGAGUGCUCGUGCUCCUGGCUGUGUGUGAGGCUGCACAAACCUCCGUCUGUAUCUAGACAGGAUAAUUAGUAUUUCUGCUCAGCGCUGGGAGUGGUGUGUGUUUCUCAGAGGUUUUCAGAUGUGUGGGGGUGUGAACGGUGAGAUCGUUUUAGGAACGUAAAAGCAAAAAGUACACGGAUUUAUUCUGGGGAGCGGUGCCAAGAGUUGAACAGGUUCUUGCAUUAAACUCGGUACUGCUGAGCAGCGAAAAAUAGUUGUUUACCUAGCUGGGCCCCGAAGGAAUGCUCCAGCAAAGCGUUAGAAGUACUGCUCUGUCACCAGUUUUUAUUUUCACAUGUGAUGCUUGGUUAAUGAAGCGAGCUCUGCCUGCUGAAGUUACAAUUGUAUGGUUGGAGCUGUCUUGCUGCAGCUCUAUCUGGCCAUCGUUGCUUCCAGAGCACUGUGGAAGAAGCUAUGUGGAAUUAGGCUCCAUUGGAUCUUCCCGACAUCUUGGACCACCGGUAAUAACCCAAUUAACAAGAUGAAAGCUCAGCGUUGAACUCGCUAAUCGCACUGAAGUAAAAAAAGAUGACGAGCCAAAAGAGAUUGUUGUGCAGACCCACUGAUCCCGACAGCCUCUUGAAGUUUAAAGAGUUCAGUGAUCUUGCAAAACCCUUUCUCUUUAAAUCUAGGUCUCAAGAGAAGGGAGAGGUACAUCAAAGAGUAAUUCACCUUCAGCUGUGUAGAUGAUUUUUUUUUUUUGGGACGUAGGAGUUGGAUUGCUGUGUUUCAACUAGAAAUGAGAUCGUUGCAUCAUAGAAACUAAAUUUGCUGUGGCAGCGAAUAUGAGUUAAUUUGACUAGGCUUGUAUCAUCUCAUGUCUCCCAGCAAGAUUCUACAUACACUUGUACUCUGCUUCAGUUCUACUUUAAUUGCUUCCCCUCCCCCUGGUGAAUCCUGCUGUUUACUGAGUUCUGUUGCACCAACACAAUGCUGUUUGCUGAUUUCUAUAUUUCUUUAAGUUUCUCCAAGAUAUGUUUUUUGCCAUAUAUUGAUAAUGGGCUGUCAUAAGGACCAGAUGGAGGUAGGGCUCAGUCCUUAUAAGCACAUUUGCUUAUUCUGUGCUUAUUUUAGGGAUGUUUGGGAUGAAAAUAUUCAAUUAUUGAUUGUAUUUCUAAGUAAAAAAAAUGAAAAAAAAAAAAAGCAGAAAAAAGUCACAAAACUUGAACUGUUCCAAUUAUAACCCCUGCACCAUUCUUUUCCUUUAACGUACAUGAAGACAGUGACAUCAUUCCCACUGACUUUUAAAUAAUUGAAGAAAAAGCCACGAGGAUCUGCAAGAAGACCUCCCAGUGGAACAGCUGGGCUCUGAUGAAUGAGAAGAGCGAGGUUUAGAUUAGGGCUAAAAGAGUUAUUUAAAUUGUAGUUCUGCACAAUACCAACUUCAGGACGCUGGUGGCACAGGACCUCAUUCACAACUCUCAAUUAUUUUUCUUUGUGUUAUUCAUACUUUUUGCAGCUCUUGAUAAGUUUGUGGAAAACAGUAUUGCAAUGGCUGAAAUACACCUCUUGACGUUUGUUCUUGUAUUGAAGAUGGGAGCACUUCACAGCUCUUUUGCUCUUGCCAUGUGCCACUGUGCCCAUUUUCCUUGGGUUGGAACUCAUCGUGUUAUCAUGGGAUACUUUUGGAAUGAGGAUGGCUGGGCUCUCUAUUUAUAUUCCCUUCUCUCAUUUGUAACAGGGCAUGCCAGAGAUGAUGUUGCCUAAGAUGACACCCCAGCUCCAGCACCUGAUGCAGCUGUGGGUGUCCCUGUUCACUGCAGGGAGUGGGACCUGAUGGCCUUUAAAGGUCCCUUCCAACUCAGCUAUUCUAUGAAGACAUCCCCAUGCCUCUGCUUCCAUGAGUCUGGAGCAUCUCAUUUCCCUCUGCUUUGGCCCCAGUGUCUGGAGCACGCUGUGAUUCAUACAAGCAGGACAGAGCACACUGGGAACAGGACAAGUAAGCACCUUGUUGCAAAUUAUGCUGAAAAUAUGCCAUGAGUAGACAGUGUAUUUCCUGCAGCAUUAAGUGUUGAAAAAAUGUUUUCUUACCUAUAGGAGUAGAUGGGUUUGGGAAACAGAGGCUGCUGGGAUUCUUGAGUGCUUUGAGGAGCAAUCCUUUGGUAGGGGUAGUGCGAAGAGGUGAUGUAAGUCACUGGGUAGCUGCCUCCUGAUGGGUACUGGAGAGACAACCAAAGAGAUGUCACUUGGCUUGGCAACGAGUUCUCAGAAUGUUUCUUUCUUAAUAGAAAUACUAAGCUUUAAUUCGGAGGAUAUUGUCCUCCACCUACAUUUAAUAGCUGUUAUGCAAAGGCAGAACUGAAGUCUUUCUAGUGUGGUAUUGAAAACCAUUGGUGUUACUGGUUAGUGCUUAAGGAGGAAGAGAAGCAGGAGAGGAGUGGGCUGGGAUGUCGGCUGCUACCAGUUCUGUUGCAGUGAGUUCCAUGCUAAAGAACUGUUUUGUUUUUUUUUGUUAAUUAUUGCCCAUUAUGCUACUGAGUUGUUGUGAAAAAUGGGUCGUUAGACCCUAUCUAUCGUUUCCAGACCAUGCACAAUUGCAUAGACUUAAAGAAUUUACUCCUUCAGCCAUCCUUUUCAUGGCAUCUCUUCAAGAGAUCCCCAGGCAUGCCCAGUUCUCAAUACACUCAGCAAUGGAUGGCCCAUCGUGAGGUCACCCCAACAGAAAUAUACCAACGCAAAAAAACAGGGAGGUCAAAGGAAAUACUGCAUGUAGCUUGCCGUGAUUGCAACAGAGUUUCUGCCGCUUUGCUCUCCGUUUCCUAUCGCAGCGGUUGGUCACGUAUUUUUUCUGUCCCGAAUUACAAUUCCAACCUGCUGGCAAGCAGCUUUCGAGAACAAAGGAGCACUGCCCCACGGAGGUGAGAUAGCAUCAGUUGGCUCUUGGUGCGGCGAAGGCUCCCACUCAACUCGGGAUUGGUGAGAGAGGAAUUUCUGCCUCUUACAGCUGAAUCUUUCCAGAUGCCAGGGGUAGGGCACGGCCAAAAUUAGGAAUCGUGUCACGGGCUAUUAAAAAUCUGCUUGCAUGCCUUUGCUAGCGCUCAAAGGUUGCUGAGCCGUGUUCUGGUGCGGUGCUGCUCACCUCUACAAGCCCUGUGUCAUGAGUUUUUGUUAUGGUUCCUCUAAGGACUCUAAUAUAGAUUUUUCAGAGUCAUCAAGAAAAUUUUCCUGGUAAUUAAUUUAUGCAUCUUAGUUUCUUACUGCCAUUGGUUUCAGUGGCUCUUUGAAAGGAAAGGGUUCUAAGAAGGAACUGGUUGGGAUGUUGCUACCAAAAGCAAGAACUGGGCGUUUUCGUGAUCAUUUCUGUUUUAUUGGUCUCAUUACUCCUUUUUGAGGGAGCAAGGCUGGGGAAUGGUCUGGUACGACUGGCUGGAGCUGGUUCUGCAGUCACACUGCUGGAUGAAAGGUGUCCGUGUUUUAUGGUGGGUGGGUUGGUGGCUUCAGCAGUGUCUGCCACUUCUUUCAGGUCAAUAAGAAGUAAUUUUCCGGCUGAGUCACCAUUUGUGCUGUGUCCAGCAAAGGGGAAGGUGAGGCCACUUUAUCGUUUGGACCGAGUUAAUGAAGGAGUCGAUCUCUCUCAUCCCUUAAUGAAAAGAGAGGUGUAGUUGCUCCAGGCUAGGGGGCCGUCCUGAGUUUAACUCCGUAGUGAUUUAAGUUGUCCGUUCCAUUCAAAUUUGAAAGGUAAAACAUUAAUACAUGCAAAAGGUGUUAUUCCAUUUCUUCUGUCUUGUAUCACUGCCCAUUUGCUAGCGUCUGACGAUGGCAUCUCAACCUGUUAUGACUUUGGCUGCUGAUACCCCUCACUUUUCUUUGAUUAGUAGAAUCCGUUGCCAAGCUUUUACUACAGUAACAUCAAGUAGCACAAUCACUGCAGUCUAACCAAAGCCUGCUGCUUGUAGGAGAGCUGUCACUCUGCCAGCCUGCAGGUGGAUGGGAGACUUUCUCCUCCUGAAGUGCUUGUUGUGUCUUGCCUAGCAGUUCCCAGAAGACAUUUCAGCUGUAAUGUUGUGGGUUUUUUGAAUGUGCUUAAUGCAGAUAAGUAGUCAUAUUACCGGUAUCAAAACAGCAGUGAUGAGGGAAGGGUGGUCAUUUCAGUUAUAUGUUUUUUAUAUAUAUAUAGCCUGAAUAUCAUGCAUUGUCAUGCAUCAGCAUUAUGGUCAGUUAUGCUUCAGCUGAAUAUUCUUUCACUGGGGAUGAUGCAAGGGCCAAAAGAUUGCAAAAGAGAUGGAUGUGCCACCAAACUCAGGGAGAGUGAGCAUUGUCUCGCUGUUAUUUACUUUAAAAGGGGGUAUUGUUUCAUCUGGUUUUUGGGCUGUUACCGUAACUACUGUAUGACUCUGGUGCAAGAAACACAGCAUUUUUGGUUCUACGUAUGGUACUGACCUGGUGGAAGGGAUGUGAGGGGCAGUACAUCUGCUGCACUUGGGGCUGAUAGCAGUACAACCCAGGCUGCCCUUCCAGUGGGGAUGUCCUAAGCUUGAGGUCUGAAUCCUGCUAGAAAAUAUGUAAGGAAAGCAUUAUUAGAGAAAACACCUCAAUUUAAUCCCAUCAGUUACUGUCCUGACUUGUCUUUCAUUAUACCUGAUGCUUAUUACUACUAUCCUCUUGUCAACCCAGUGCCACAUCCAGUAUUGACUAAUGUCUGUGCUAUUUUGGUGAGCAUCAGAUGAUUUUUUUUAUCCAGAAAUAUCAACUUGCAAGCAGCUUGUGAGCUGUGCAGGAACUUUGAAGUUGCACGUUAAUGGAACCAGUGGAGACAUCAAUGAGUAGCUGGUCUGAGUAGUCAGAGGUGCUUUGUAUAGGGCUCAUGCGGUGCUAAUCUUACGUUCUUUGCAGCCCAAGAAUUUGGGAAGAAAAUGGGUUUUUUCUCAUUAACUGCUUACAGAUUUUGCAUUAAACUAAUCUGAUCUGAGUUUAUAUUAUUUAUCCAGGAAAUAAGAGAUUUAGAUCAACUUCCUCCUUAGUCUGAGUGGCUUCAAUCUGUGGGAAAAAAAAAUAAUAGAAAAGACAACUGACCAUGACUUGUGAACUGUGGUCUUGACCUGUGGUGCUGUACUGGAGACUGUUACACCACGACUGUUCGGAGGAGAUGUUUGGAACAUGUGUUGG